This is a long non-coding RNA of Saccostrea cuccullata (small rock oyster), 862 nucleotides long. RefSeq lists it as uncharacterized. The record is from RefSeq and is a predicted model, not a curated record. The transcript is spliced from 3 exons. NCBI's taxonomy places the organism in Eukaryota, Metazoa, Mollusca, Bivalvia, Ostreida, Ostreidae.
GGAUUAAUGAACCCUCCCCUCAUACAAUGAACACCACAUGGACACUCUCAGGAUGGUCACUUUGCUUUCAUUAAGAGUUCCAAGAUGAGGGUCUGAUUGACUGGGGUGUGAAAUGUAACAGCCAAUGGUGUACUUAAGCUAAGACUGUCAGUCCCAAUAUUCAAGAGGAAAAACCCCUACAUAAACAAAUACAUGGGCGCAGACAUUUUGGACACCCAAAGUUGUGCGGAGGAGAAAAUGCUACCUGGUGCGUGAUUGGUCAAUAAGAGAAAAGACUUGAUAUGUAUUUGACAAGUGAAAUAAAGUUGAUAAAAAUGUAAUAUCAAGACUUGGGUUUCUUUGAGAUAUGUAGGAGUUACAGGUAAAAAUUUGAAAGGAGGGGUGCCCUUUGGUUAGAGAUUUUCAUUUGGUGUCAAACGCACCUUGUUGUAAACAAAUGGAAAUUGAAAGUAAAAGUGCCGCGUGACAGUAUAUUUUUUCUGUCAUGUUUUGUUUUCCAAUAUCUCGAACUUUCACGACAAAAAGGCCAUUUGCCCAAAAUUCAUUAUAUGUAUGAGUGACAGGGGCUCAAGUUUGUAUGGAAGUCUAUGGGAAAACAUUUAGUGGUGUUUGUCCUAUAGAAUAGGUAUGUAUUUCAUGGAAAAACAUUGAUUACAGCCAAAAAAUCAAUCAAUUCCUAUUUUUUUGGCAUUGAGAUCAUAUUUUAAUUAGUUUUUACUAUUUCUCAAAAAAAUAGAGGGUUUGGGUAAAUUGAGGCCCACAAUGGGGGCUGCACAUGGUGAAAAAAUGCUAAAAUUUUUGCCCUAGCUCUCAUAUUUUCAAUAAAUGUACAUGUAAAUAAUUUAAAAUAAAUAUUUCUGCU